AAAGGGAGACCUAAUUCAGGUAUAAGACGAAAAAAAAGUAGUCCCUACCAAGAAUCAAUCCCAAAAGGUCGGAACGAGGUAUGAGGCUUUCAAACUAGGUUCUGGGUUCAUAAAAGACCUGAAUCAGGAACAAGGGCUAUUAGCUCAGGUGGUUAGAGCGCACCCCUGAUAAGGGUGAGGUCCCUGGUUCGAGUCCAGGAUGGCCCACCUGCACAGGUGGCAAAAACAAGAGAAGCGAGGAAUCAGCACCUUAUCUUACUUAUAUAGUAAGAGAGAAUGCUGGCUCUGAGUACAGAGUCCAGAGGAACCUUGAAAACUGCAUAGAGCUAGGUGAAAAAGCCAAAAAAGAAGACCGCAAG
RNAcentral lists this transfer RNA (359 nucleotides) under uncultured Microcystis sp. Its description in RNAcentral is "partial 16S-23S ribosomal RNA intergenic spacer". The stretch from base 134 to 207 matches the Rfam family "tRNA". The record is from RNAcentral. Lineage: Bacteria; Bacillati; Cyanobacteriota; Cyanophyceae; Chroococcales; Microcystaceae.